Gambusia affinis (western mosquitofish) is the source of this 4715-nucleotide RNA transcript. It is a transcript of the gene named dual specificity phosphatase 27, with no coding region annotated. NCBI's taxonomy places the organism in Eukaryota, Metazoa, Chordata, Actinopteri, Cyprinodontiformes, Poeciliidae. The transcript is spliced from 8 exons. The record is from RefSeq and is a predicted model, not a curated record.
AUCUGGAUUGUAAUCGGGAUUAGUUGAAGGUUUCUUCCUUCCUUUCGGAACCCCGAAAUCAGCGCCAGGAGCCAGGAAGUGACGACACACAGCUGCUGGUGUCGACUUUCUGAGGAAGAGGAGGAGGAGGAGGAAGAGCAGCGCGGCUAAUUUGGGCCGCAAAGUCAGAGGGGGUUCGGUUCGGUUCGGCCUGAGGAGCAACUCCGGUCCACCGCAGUUUUGAUAGGGCGGGUCCUGGUUACCAUGGAGACAGCCAAUGAAAGCGAGGAGCGCAGCGACCAGGCGGUCCAUGAUGAAGAGGAGGAGGUGCGAGGAGUUCAGGCUCGUUACCUGCGCUGCCCGUCUCCUAGCUUCUCCAUGACCUCCCUGACCUCCAGGUUCUCUGACGCCUCCUCCAUCGUCAUGGAGCCCAUCCAUCUGUCGUCAGCCGUCGCUGCCAAGAAGAUCAUCAGCGAAGAGCUGCCGCCCCAUGCCGCCCGCCCCGAGUCGGUCCCGGAGUCCAUGCUGGAGUCCGCGGAGCAGCUGAUGGUGGAGGACCUGUACAACCGGGUCCGAGACAUGCUGGACGACCGCAGCCCCUACAACACGCCCUGCGUGCUGGACAUCCAGAGGGCCAUGGUCCAGGACCGGCUGGAGGCGCCCGCCAACCCGGUGGACGAAGUCUGGCCCAACAUCCUCAUCGGCGAGAAAUCCGUUGCGGUCAACAAGGCCCGUCUGAAGAGAAUGGGCAUCACGCACAUCCUGAACACGGCCCACGGUACCGGCGUCUACACCGGCCAGGCCUUCUACGCCAACAUGGACAUCCAGUACCGAGGAAUCGAGCUGGACGACUUCCCCGACGCCGACAUUGCCGCACACUUCAGGCCCGCCGCAGAGUUCCUGGACGAGGCUCUGCUCACACACAAAGGAAAAGUUCUGGUUGUGUCCAUGAUGGGCGUCAGCCGGUCGGCCAUUCUGGUGGCGUCCUACCUGAUGAUCUUCCAGAACAUGACGAUCAUGGAGGCGCUGACCACCAUCAGGAAGAAACGGGCCAUCAACCCCAACGAAGGCUUCCUGAAGCAGCUGAGAGAGUUCAACGAGACGCUGAUGGAGGAACGCGACGACGACGACGAAACGCUCAGCCAGUGCUCUGUGAUCGACGCCCGCGCACGUAUCUUCGGUGAGGAAAGGGGUGAUGAUGAUGAAGAGACAGAUGGGGAGGAAGAGCGGAGCGUGGUGAAGGUGAAGGCGCAGUCCAUCAUGAUGGAGGAAGAGGAAGAUAGAGAGAGCGUGAUGACCAGCAUCGCUUCUUCAGCGGCGGCUGCGGCGCUACGAAACGGGCCACUCCACAAUGGCGAUCAGGAACUGGAUCACCGGGAGAUCGACCUGCCGGGUCAAACGGCCACGGAGGACGGAGCCGAAGAUGACGACGACGGCCUGGACAGCAUGAUCCGCGAGUGGCAGCGCAGAAAUGAAAAGUACCAGAGCGAGGAGUGGUGGGAGGCCCAGCUCCACGGCGAGGAGGAAUCCAUCAGCGCCGGCCAUCCCAAGGCAGCGAGACAGGAAGACGACAGGGAGAGCGUCACUAGCGAGGACGUCCGAGCUGUCAAAGAGAGACUAAGGCACAGGAACAAGAGGCCCUCCUCGAACACCAUGUCCACCUCCAGCUGCACCAGUUACUCUGACCUCUGGAAGCAGCGACUCAAAGAGAUCGAGGAACAAGCCGCGGCUCGCUACCGCAAGACGGAGGACCACGAAGGUACCGAGAGCACGAGGACGGAGGGCGGAAACACAAACAUUGAUGCUGAGGUUGAAAGCAUCCUCUCUGACACCAGCUCCAUGUACAACUUUUGCCAAAAGAAUAAGGAGAAGAUGACGCCUUUGGAGCGCUGGCGCAUCAAGAGGAUCCAGUUCGGCUGGAACAAAAAAGACCGAGAGGACGGAGAGAAAAGUUCAGCUACUGAUGGAGAGGAAGAAAGUAAGACUCCGUCCUUCCAGGAUGUCAAUCUGACGGCAUACCAGGCCUGGAAACUGCGGCAACAGAAACGCCUCGGUGAGGAAAACACGGAGGAGAUCCUGGAACUCAGCCGCGGCGACGACUCGGCAACCAUCAAACGGAGGCAGAGACGUGAAGUGAUUCUGGAGCGCUCUAAGAAAACCUUGGAGGAGAGUCAGUCCAUGUGUGGAUGGGAUUCAGAAAGCUGCGUCAGCGGCGGGACGAUUCCUCUGUCCGCCUUCUGGGCAGGAGCUGGAGUCACCGGCCCGCCCAGUGUUGCCAAUGACGACAACAUGUCCAUGCUGAGUGGCAGGUCAUCCACCAUAUCCACUGUUUCACAACGUCGGAGUGCAAGAUCCACUCAGUCCGCCAGCCAAGCCCUGCCCCCAGUCCUCCCAGUCCCAGCUGUGCCAGGGCCUGCAGGUGAGCCCAUGGUCAACCUCACCAGCAUUCAGAACUGGAUCGCCAACGUAGUGACUGAAACGAUCAAGCAGAAGCAGAGCGAACUGAGCCUGCCUCCUUCAUCAUGUGCUGGAUCCGAGCUCAGCUUUGGAGCAGCGCCUAACAUGGUAGCAGGCCGCGGUGCGGAGGACGACAGGGUCAGCUGGGCGUCCUACUCCAGCACUCUAUCAAAGGCCCACGGCAGAGCAACAUCUGUCCUCUCCGGUGGCAGCAGCAUGUCCGGUCUGAGUGGGCAACGCUCCGCUCUGGGCUCCAAGAAAACCAAGAUCACCACGACCAGCGUUCCUCUCUUCAGCCUCUUCCAAGACCAGGUCAACCUGGGCAAACUGGACGCCAUAGAGAAGGAGAUCAGGUCUGAAAUGAGGGAGAAAGGGGAAACCUAUGAGAAGAAAAAGAUCCUGGAAGACAACAAACGCAGCACGCUGUACAAGAAAAAGAAACUAAAGGAAGAUGAGGAUGAGGAGCAGGACAGGAUGAGGAAAGAGGAAGAGUUUCUCGAAGAAACAAAGAAAAAGGAGAAACCCAAAAGAAGCUACGGUCUUUCCGGCUGCCUAAAUCUCAACCCAGUGAUAGAGAAAGACCAGAACACCAGCAUUGACGACUGGCUGAGAAGUGUGAGACCUCCUCCAGGCAAACUGACCUCAGCUGCUGAGGCUGAUCCGUCUCAGGAUCCCUACGACGAUCUGGACGCCUCCGCCUCCCAGUUUGACUUCUCUGAUCACAGAGGCCCGUUUGCUGCUGAAGAAGACGACGAGGAAGCAUUCGGAGUGACUUCCAGAUAUCGGCCGAGGUUCGGCAAAGAAGCUGAAUGCUCCUGCAACGGGUUCACACAGUCCCACAGACGAGCGGGUCGGUCCAGCGAGGACGGGACGGACGGCGUUUCGCUCCACCGGAGAUUCGCUCAUCGCUCACGGUACGACGGCAGCGAAGCCGCAGGGAGGCGGGACGCCAGCAGCGAGGAGGAGGAGGAGGACGAGGACGAGGACGUUGAGGCUUUCAUUGCUCAAACCAGACGCAGGAUCCGGGCUCGGGCCGCCGCGGAGGCCGAGGAUGACGAAGUCCUCUGUGCCUGGAGGGAGCAGCAGGGAGCCAAGGCCCGGAGAAGAGUCUUGGGAUGUGAAGAAUGAGAGCUUUGAGUUCGCAGCUCUGCCGCCAAAAACAACAGUUUGGUGUUUUUUGUUUGGGACGGGAACCAGGUUGGACAACACUAACCUACUGGAACCGCUUGGACUGGACUUCCUCUGCGGCUCUGAAUUACCGUCACCACCUACUGGCCACCUGGAGCUGAAGGUUUUCAGAUGAUGCACAUGGAUGGAUUUGACGCUGUGAAAACAUGAACAGGACAACGUGUCUGUUAACGACUCUCCUUAUUCUGCUCUGAGGCUGAGGAAAAUUAGAACCAAGGAGAAAGAAAACAGGAAGCAGAGAGGAUUACAUCACAAACCUGGAGAAAACAAAGAAACGAUGGAAAAAGGAACAAAUGCAAACGAGGAAACGGAUCGCUCUAAAAGCUUCACUCCAUCUCUUGCUGAACCUCUAAAGCAGAAAGAGAGCCAGAUCCUCCUCUGUGGGAACAUUAUCUCACACCACCGAGCAGCAACAAAGACUGGGAGCACUGGGAGCACUGGGAGCACUGGGACUUCCAGCCAGAUCCAGCAGCGGGUUUCCCAGCAGCGGACUGAACCUGCAGACUCGUUUCACCUGAAGGCAUCAGAGGCUGAUGGACGCCGCCGGGCCGCCGCCUAUGGAGGACAGGAAACAGGAAGUUACAGAAAACAAAGGAAGCAAAGGUAAAGGAGGUCCAAACUCCCCUAAGAGCAAGGCUGAAAUGGAUGACGAGGAGAAAAGCAGCAGCCAGUCCAAGUACAAAACCGUGUCUUACAAGAAGAUCCGCAAAGGAAACACGCGGCAGAGGAUCGACGAGUUCGAGGUCAUGUUUGACUUGUGAUGAAGAGCUGGAGGGCCGAGGACAGAGCCUGGAGGCGCUCCGCUGUAGAUCCACAGAAUGUUCAGUAUGAUUGUUUUCAGACUUUAACCGGACCGGAACGGGUCGGACCGGACCGGAUCUCUCUCCCCUGCACACCUCAGAUCUCACCCUUACUGAUUUUUUCCUCCAUAAAAUUCAGAAAACUGAAACCUGAUGUUUUCAUUUCCAGGAUGUAAACGUUGAGGAGAAACUUCAAAUGUUUUAUAGAGAAAAGAACUAAUAUUUGUUAGAGAGUGAAUGAGUGGAAAACUCCAGGACAGAGUGAAAUGGUUAAUCUAGUCUUUUCUGACU